This 240-nucleotide unclassified non-coding RNA is filed under the name Hevea brasiliensis (rubber tree). The record is from RNAcentral. Lineage: Eukaryota; Viridiplantae; Streptophyta; Magnoliopsida; Malpighiales; Euphorbiaceae.
CAAGUGUUUAGUAAUCCUUUCUUUAUUUUUAUAUGAUUGAUAAUACCCAAAGAUAUUGUGCAAUCAUAAUCUAUAUGGAUCGGAAAUUAGAAAAGGAGAUGUUUUCUGCUAUGAUGAAUGAAAUGCUAUUUCUAAGGAAAGUUAAUAUGGUUUGACACCACAAGCUGACAUUGUUUUACUCACAAGUUUAUUAUGAAAAUAAAUGGGAGUGGUUAUUUCUUCACCAUGUGUGCUUUUUCU